AGAGUUUGAUCAUGGCUCAGAUUGAACGCUGGCGGCAUGCCUUACACAUGCAAGUCGAACGGUAACAGGUCUUCGGAUGCUGACGAGUGGCGAACGGGUGAGUAAUACAUCGGAACGUGCCCGAUCGUGGGGGAUAACGGAGCGAAAGCUUUGCUAAUACCGCAUACGAUCUACGGAUGAAAGCAGGGGACCGCAAGGCCUUGCGCGGACGGAGCGGCCGAUGGCAGAUUAGGUAGUUGGUGGGAUAAAAGCUUACCAAGCCGACGAUCUGUAGCUGGUCUGAGAGAACGACCAGCCACACUGGGACUGAGACACGGCCCAGACUCCUACGGGAGGCAGCAGUGGGGAAUUUUGGACAAUGGGCGAAAGCCUGAUCCAGCCAUGCCGCGUGCAGGAUGAAGGCCUUCGGGUUGUAAACUGCUUUUGUACGGAACGAAAAGACUCCUUCUAAUAAAGGGGGUCCAUGACGGUACCGUAAGAAUAAGCACCGGCUAACUACGUGCCAGCAGCCGCGGUAAUACGUAGGGUGCAAGCGUUAAUCGGAAUUACUGGGCGUAAAGCGUGCGCAGGCGGUUAUAUAAGACAGAUGUGAAAUCCCCGGGCUCAACCUGGGAACUGCAUUUGUGACUGUAUAGCUAGAGUACGGUAGAGGGGGAUGGAAUUCCGCGUGUAGCAGUGAAAUGCGUAGAUAUGCGGAGGAACACCGAUGGCGAAGGCAAUCCCCUGGACCUGUACUGACGCUCAUGCACGAAAGCGUGGGGAGCAAACAGGAUUAGAUACCCCGGUAGUCC
Molecule: ribosomal RNA, 791 nt
Filed under: uncultured bacterium
Lineage: Bacteria
Description: bacterial SSU rRNA
Rfam family: Bacterial small subunit ribosomal RNA
Source: RNAcentral